AGAAGUUUAAGUUAACUCAAACUCAGAGCCUUCAAAGCUCUAAACAGGGUCACACCCUAACUUCUG
This 66-nucleotide transfer RNA is filed under the name Pachydactylus weberi. RNAcentral describes it as "tRNA-Trp". The record is from RNAcentral. Lineage: Eukaryota; Metazoa; Chordata; Lepidosauria; Squamata; Gekkonidae.